GGGUGAAGGAACUAGGCAAAAUGGUGCCGUAACUUCGGGAGAAGGCACGCUGAUAUGUAGGUGAAGUCCCUCGCGGAUGGAGCUGAAAUCAGUCGAAGAUACCAGCUGGCUGCAACUGUUUAUUAAAAACACAGCACUGUGCAAACACGAAAGUGGACGUAUACGGUGUGACGCCUGCCCGGUGCCGGAAGGUUAAUUGAUGGGGUUAGCGCAAGCGAAGCUCUUGAUCGAAGCCCCGGUAAACGGCGGCCGUAACUAUAACGGUCCUAAGGUAGCGAAAUUCCUUGUCGGGUAAGUUCCGACCUGCACGAAUGGCGUAAUGAUGGCCAGGCUGUCUCCACCCGAGACUCAGUGAAAUUGAACUCGCUGUGAAGAUGCAGUGUACCCGCGGCAAGACGGAAAGACCCCGUGAACCUUUACUAUAGCUUGACACUGAACAUUGAGCCUUGAUGUGUAGGAUAGGUGGGAGGCUUUGAAGUGUGGACGCCAGUCUGCAUGGAGCCGACCUUGAAAUACCACCCUUUAAUGUUUGAUGUUCUAACGUUGACCCGUAAUCCGGGUUGCGGACAGUGUCUGGUGGGUAGUUUGACUGGGGCGGUCUCCUCCUAAAGAGUAACGGAGGAGCACGAAGGUUGGCUAAUCCUGGUCGGACAUCAGGAGGUUAGUGCAAUGGCAUAAGCCAGCUUGACUGCGAGCGUGACGGCGCGAGCAGGUGCGAAAGCAGGUCAUAGUGAUCCGGUGGUUCUGAAUGGAAGGGCCAUCGCUCAACGGAUAAAAGGUACUCCGGGGAUAACAGGCUGAUACCGCCCAAGAGUUCAUAUCGACGGCGGUGUUUGGCACCUCGAUGUCGGCUCAUCACAUCCUGGGGCUGAAGUAGGUCCCAAGGGUAUGGCUGUUCGCCAUUUAAAGUGGUACGCGAGCUGGGUUUAGAACGUCGUGAGACAGUUCGGUCCCUAUCUGCCGUGGGCGCUGGAGAACUGAGGGGGGCUGCUCCUAGUACGAGAGGACCGGAGUGGACGCAUCACUGGUGUUCGGGUUGUCAUGCCAAUGGCACUGCCCGGUAGCUAAAUGCGGAAGAGAUAAGUGCUGAAAGCAUCUAAGCACGAAACUUGCCCCGAGAUGAGUUCUCCCUGACUCCUUGAGAGUCCUGAAGGAACGUUGAAGACGACGACGUUGAUAGGCCGGGUGUGUAAGCGCAGCGAUGCGUUGAGCUAACCGGUACUAAUGAACCGUGAGGCUUAACCUUAC
Molecule: ribosomal RNA, 1248 nt
Filed under: Escherichia coli O111:H11 str. CVM9455
Lineage: Bacteria; Pseudomonadati; Pseudomonadota; Gammaproteobacteria; Enterobacterales; Enterobacteriaceae
Description: bacterial LSU rRNA
Rfam family: Bacterial large subunit ribosomal RNA
Source: RNAcentral